This is a non-coding RNA of Termitomyces sp. 'cryptogamus', 93 nucleotides long. The record is from the annotation of a GenBank genome assembly. NCBI's taxonomy places the organism in Eukaryota, Fungi, Basidiomycota, Agaricomycetes, Agaricales, Lyophyllaceae.
GGGGGCAUAGCUCAGCUGGGAGAGCAGCAGACUGAAGUAUUUGUGAAAAGGAUCUUAUUCUGAAGGUCCCGCGUUCGAUCCGCGGUGCCCCCA